This is a long non-coding RNA of Oncorhynchus tshawytscha (Chinook salmon), 973 nucleotides long. Lineage: Eukaryota; Metazoa; Chordata; Actinopteri; Salmoniformes; Salmonidae. The record is from Ensembl.
CUGGUGACUGAGGAGCUGGUCUUGUCAAAGUGUCUGGGUUUGCUGCUGGCAGAGGGGUCACAACACACAGUUGCUUUGUCUUUCCCUUCUUCACUUCCUGUAGAUGGCUGAACUGCUGCUGUAUCUGUUGAUGCGCUGCUUGUUGCAUUGACUGCUGUUGCUGUGGUUGAUUGAACAUGACACCCUGUAGAUUGGCUCCUGGUGCUCCCAGUGCUGCCAUGUCAUCAGGAGUGUGAAUGUUCUGAACAGGUGUGGUGUCUCUGUCACCCCAUUCACCACCUGUCGCACCAGGUGACUCCUCAUCAUCAGGCCUCUCCACCUCUAUAACCCCACCAGGUGACUCCUCAUCAUCAGGCCUCUCCACCUCUAUAACCCCACCAGGUGACUCCUCAUCAUCAGGCCUCUCCACCUCUAUAACCCCACCAGGUGACUCCUCAUCAUCUGACCUCUCCACCUCUAUAACCCCACCAGGUGACUCCUCAUCAUCAGGCCUCUCCACCUCUAUAACCCCACCAGGUGACUCCUCAUCAUCAGGCUUCUCCAUCACUAGAACCCCACCAGGUGACUCCUCAUCAUCAGGCUUCUCAAUCACUAGAACCCCACCUGGUGACUCCUCAUCAUCAGGCUUCUCCAUCACUAUAACCCCACCAGGUGACUCCUCAUCAUCAGGCUUCUCCAUCACUAGAACCCCACCAGGUGACUCCUCAUCAUCAGGCUUCUCCAUCACUAGAACCCCACCGGGAGGGGAAUCCCACCACCUAAAGUUGGACGGGCUGCAGCAGUCUUCUAAAGUCUGACAGGGGAAACAUAAUAUAGUUUUUACAGUUUCUCAAAGUAAGGUAAAAAAAACAUUGUUAGUGGUUUACCCUCACAAAAAAUAAAAUGAGUGGAUGAUCAACCAACACUAAGAACAGAUCUCAUAUUAGUCACAUGUUGUUCUCCUUACGCUGGCUGUCAGUGGUAUUGUUUUAUA